AUAAUCAUAUGUGUGAUA
RNAcentral lists this small nuclear RNA (18 nucleotides) under Arabidopsis thaliana (thale cress). Its description in RNAcentral is "snRNA_11144". Lineage: Eukaryota; Viridiplantae; Streptophyta; Magnoliopsida; Brassicales; Brassicaceae. The record is from RNAcentral.